This is a long non-coding RNA of Cucurbita moschata (crookneck pumpkin), 1141 nucleotides long. RefSeq lists it as uncharacterized. The record is from RefSeq and is a predicted model, not a curated record. The transcript has 7 exons. Lineage: Eukaryota; Viridiplantae; Streptophyta; Magnoliopsida; Cucurbitales; Cucurbitaceae.
UCUGUCGCUUCAUUUCUGUUGGCCGGACUGUGAACUCAACUCAGUACUGCCGCUUUCGUCCUCUGAGGCUUCUCCUUCUCGGCCUCUCUCUCUCUCUCUCUCUCUCUCUCUCUCUCGCUCUUCACCAAUAUUACUUCAGCUUCUGAAGGCUUUUCCAUUUCAGAUCAAGCUAUGGAAGCCGACGAGGCCGACCGUGUCUUUCCAUUUCAGCUCCAAUUCGACAAGCAUAUUGCCUCUCAGGUUGAAAUUGCCGAGUGGAAACCGGAAAGGAUUUGCUAGCCAUUGUCACAGAAGACUUGGGAGUUUUGCUCCACCGCGGCGGAGGUUGCGGACUAUAUCACCUGGGAAGAUGUUGACAGAGUAAGAGAUUUGGUUGGGAUUCAAAGAUUGUGAAUUUUUAUUAAGGACACUUGGUAUGGAGUUUCAGCAGAUGGACUCUAGGCAUUCCCUCUCUUCCAUUCAAUUGGUCUGUCCCCAGCAGGAAGGAAAGGAAUUCUAAGCAUCUUCUUGGUGUAUCCGCUGCAAGAGAAUGGGUUUCAAAGAAGCUUUUCUUAUGCCCUUAAGUACAAUCUGAAGGACAAUACUUCGUGAAGAUCUUGUUGUCCCUUUUCCCCUUUCAAUCCUCGUGUCAAGCUGCUCGUCUUCCAGUGUUCUUCAUUUGGUGUCGUACUAUGAGGCUCUUUUGGUUCCUGUAUGAUGGUUGUGCAAGCAGAUGACCUUACGUUUGUAUCUAUGCCAAGAUCUCCGUCUGGACAGUUGGAAGGUCCAACAACUCAAGGCUGUGCUUCUUAUCCUUUGCAAGAAGUUGGGAUGUUGAUGCCUGUGGCUUGUCAAUGGGAUCAAUUUCUUCGUCACGACGUACCUCACUUGUUGUCACAGUGACUUUGAUGUUUCCACUGUCAUACAUUGUUGUCUCUACAGAAAGGACCAAAAGCACGUUUGGAUCAAAAUAAUACGACAUGUAUCUCUAUAACAUAGAUGACACUUCCAGUGUUUGAUUAUUGGAAGCCUCUUCCAAGAUUCAGAGUUUCUCAAUGAAUGCAUAUCAUUAUCAAUGUUAUCAACUUCCAAGUUAUUUUUCAUAUAUAACCCGACUUUUAGCUUCCCUGUGAAAAGAAUAAUAUCUGAUCUGAUUUUUUAA